Molecule: long non-coding RNA, 1214 nt
Filed under: Sus scrofa (pig)
Lineage: Eukaryota; Metazoa; Chordata; Mammalia; Artiodactyla; Suidae
Description: lncRNA (ENSSSCG00065065829.1)
Source: RNAcentral
CAGCAGGGUGCGUGAGUUCCCAGGGGAGCGAGAGCAACAGCAGCUUGUGUUUGAUUGCAAUGCCCUCCUCUGAGGUGACGAGAACCGCAGGUGGUGCCUGUUCAGGGACCCCUAGUGGGAGCGGGCCAUGACCAUCUCUGGAGUCAGUGAUAACUGUGGUGGUUUGCCCCUGCCACCUGUAGAUGGUGCAUGAAGCAACCCGUCUCACUUAGCCCACAUAGGAGGUGCUGUACAGGCUGCUCCUAGUUAUAGGAUCCUGGGAAGUGACAGAGAUCAGGCGUGUGGGGACUGCCCGUGGCAUUCAGCAGUGGCAGCAGGAGGGCGGGUGUGUUCCCAGGGAGUGAGAGCACCAGCAGGUGGUGCUCGGUCACAGUGCCCUCCUCUGUGGUGCCCUUGAGGUGAAUGGGGCUGCAAGUGGUAUGUGUUCAUGGACCCCAGUGGUGGCAAGCCACUCCCACCUCUGGAGCCAGAGACAACUGCAGUGGUUUGCCCCUCCCUCCUGUAGACCAUGCCAGAAGCACCUCGUCCUGUUUAGCUCCCAGAGGAGGUGCUGCAUAAGCUGCUCCUAGUUGCAGGUUCCUGGGAAGGGACAGUGAUGAAGCAUCCGAGCACUGCCCAGAGUGUUUGGCAGUGGCAGCAGCAGGGAGGGUGUGCUCCCAGGGGAGCGAUCGCAACAACAGCGUAUGGUGAUUGGUUGCAGUGCCCUCUUCUUUUCUUUUGUGUCAACCCCUGAGGCGACUGGGGUCACAGGUGGGGCCCACUCACAGGCCCCCAAUGGUGGCAAGCCAUACCUCCCUAUGGCCUCUGAGAGGACCGGUGGGGUCUGUCCCUGUCAUCUGUAGAUUGUGCAAGAGGCACCAUGUGGCACUUAGCCCCCCGAUGGCCUUGGCCCAAUCGAGAUGUGCCUACCACCAGUAGCCUGCACCAGAAGUGCCCAGUCUCCCUAAACACGCAAGAGGCUUCUCACUGCCCAUAGCCUGUGUUAGAGCUGCUCUGCCCUCUGCGAGCCCGCAGUGUAGGGCGUUUCCUCUGGCGUCCGCCCCUCCUCCUCUCCCUCUUCCCAACUCUGGUGCCUCGCCCCUCCUGCAGGUCCAGACCUUCUCCCCGGUUCCCUCUGCCGUGGUGUUCCCCUCCUCAGCCCAUGGCGUACCACUCCCCCCGCCCGUGGCGCCCUGCUCCUCAGCCCCUCAGGCUGUCCCCAGUCCUCUCCCCGG